AGUAACACGGUGGGGAACCUCGCCCCAUAGUCUGGGAUACCACUUAGGAAACAGGUGCUAAUACCGGAUAAGAAAGCGGAUCGCAUUAUCAGCUUUUAAAAGGCGGCGUAAGCUGUCGCUAUGGGAUGGCCCCGCGGUGCAUUAGCUAGUUGGUAAGGUAAAGGCUUACCAAGGCGAUGAUGCAUAGCCGAGUUGAUAUACUGAUCGGCCACAUUGGGACUGAGACACGGCCCAAACUCCUACGGGAGGCAGCAGAC
Molecule: ribosomal RNA, 257 nt
Filed under: uncultured Lactobacillus sp.
Lineage: Bacteria; Bacillati; Bacillota; Bacilli; Lactobacillales; Lactobacillaceae
Description: partial 16S ribosomal RNA
Rfam family: Bacterial small subunit ribosomal RNA
Source: RNAcentral